Molecule: ribosomal RNA, 440 nt
Filed under: uncultured bacterium
Lineage: Bacteria
Description: partial 16S ribosomal RNA
Rfam family: Bacterial small subunit ribosomal RNA
Source: RNAcentral
CCUACGGGAGGCAGCAGUGAGGGAUUUUGCGCAAUGGGCGAAAGCCUGACGCAGCGACGCCGCGUGAGGGAAGAAGGCCUUCGGGUUGUAAACCUCUGUCAGUGGGGAAGAGGAAGGACGGUACCUGCUGAGGAAGCCUCGGCUAACUACGUGCCAGCAGCCGCGGUAAUACGUAGGGGGCGAGCGUUGUCCGGAAUUACUGGGUGUAAAGAGCUCGUAGGCGGAGAGGUAAGUUCAGGACCAAAGCCCAGGGCUUAACCCUGGAAUGAGCUUGAAUACUGCCUUUCUUGAGGACCGGAGAGGAGAGUGGAAUUCCCGGUGUAGCGGUGAAAUGCGUAGAUACCGGGAGGAACACCGUUGGCGAAGGCGGCCUUCUGGGCUUCUCCUGACGCUGAGGGGCGAAAGCCUGGGGAGCGAACCGGAUUAGAUCCCCCGGUAGU